GCCCUUUUCCGGUUGAUCCUGCCGGAGGCCAUUGCUAUUGGAGUUCGAUUUAGCCAUGCUAGUCGUACGGGUUCAGACCCGUGGCGAAUAGCUCAGUAACACGUGGCCAAACUACCCUGUGGACGGGGAUACUCUCGGGAAACUGAGGCUAAUCCUCGAUAGGGCUUCCAUCCUGGAAUGGAGGAAGCCUGAAACGCUCCGGCGCCACAGGAUGUGGCUGCGGCCGAUUAGGUAGACGGUGGGGUAACGGCCCACCGUGCCAGUAAUCGGUACGGGUGAUGGAAGUCAGAGCCCGGAGACGGUAUCUGAGACAAGAUACCGGGCCCUACGGGGCGCAGCAGGCGCGAAACCUUUACACUGCACGACAGUGCGAUAGGGGAACUCCAAGUGCGAGGGCAUACAGUCCUCGCUUUUCUGGACCGUAAGGAGGUCGAGGAACAAGGGCUGGGCAAGACCGGUGCCAGCCGCCGCGGUAAUACCGGCAGCCCAAGUGAUGGCCAAUAUUAUUGGGCCUAAAGCGUCCGUAGCCGGCCGGACAAGUCCGUUGGGAAAUCCACGCGCUCAACGCGUGGGCGUCCAGCGGAAACUGUCCGGCUUGGGGCCGGAGGACUC
This 612-nucleotide ribosomal RNA is filed under the name uncultured archaeon. Its description in RNAcentral is "bacterial SSU rRNA". It matches the Rfam family "Archaeal small subunit ribosomal RNA", at positions 1 to 609 of the family's 1478-position model. The record is from RNAcentral.